This 1386-nucleotide unclassified non-coding RNA is filed under the name Leishmania donovani. RNAcentral describes it as "gene:LdHU3.34.0210(CDS-product:malate_dehydrogena se)". The record is from RNAcentral. Lineage: Eukaryota; Euglenozoa; Kinetoplastea; Trypanosomatida; Trypanosomatidae.
GUUUCUUUCGAGAGCUUAAGCGAAAACACAGUUCACCAGCGCAGCUACAUCGCAGUCCUCCUUGUACCGUACAAUCUGCCUCGCCUACCCACUCUGAACACAUAUACCCUCAUUCCGACGCCUGUUUCUGUGACUCUUCAUAAUGCGCCGCUCCCAGGCGUGCUUCUUCCAUGUCGCUGUGCUCGGUGCUGCCGGUGGCAUCGGCCAGCCCUUGUCGCUCCUCCUCAAAAAUAACAAGUACGUGAAGGAGCUGAAGCUGUACGAUGUCAAGGGCGCCCCUGGUGUGGCUGCGGACCUCUCCCACAUCUGCGCUCCAGCGAAGGUGACUGGCUACACGAAGGAUGAGCUCUCAAGGGCUGUCGAGGGCGUUGACGUUGUGGUGAUCCCCGCUGGCAUCCCCCGCAAACCGGGGAUGACGCGCGACGACCUUUUCCACACGAACGCCAGCAUCGUGCGCGAUCUCGCCAUCGCCGUUGGCACGCACGCGCCGAAGGCAAUUGUUGGUAUUAUCACGAACCCCGUCAACAGCACUGUGCCAGUGGCUGCUGAGGCGCUGAAGAAGGUCGGCGUGUACGACCCUGCGCGCCUCUUUGGCGUCACCACACUCGACGUUGUCCGUGCCCGCACCUUCGUCGGAGAGGCGCUUGGCAAGUCCCCCCUGGAGCUCGACAUCCCCGUUGUUGGCGGCCACAGCGGUGAGACGAUUGUGCCGUUGCUCUCAGGCUUCCCGUCGCUGUCGGAGGAGCAGGUGCGGCAGCUGACGCACCGCAUCCAGUUUGGUGGUGAUGAGGUGGUGAAGGCCAAGGAUGGUGCGGGCUCGGCGACGCUGUCCAUGGCCUUCGCAGGCAACGAGUGGACGACGGCGGUGCUGCGCGCCCUCAGUGGCGAGAAGGGUGUUGUGGUGUGCACGUACGUGCAGAGCACCGUGGAGCCGUCGUGCGCCUUCUUCAGCUCGCCGGUGUUGCUGGGCAACAGUGGUGUGGAAAAGAUCUACCCUGUGCCGAUGCUGAACUCAUACGAAGAGAAGCUGAUGGCCAAGUGCUUGGAGGGUCUGCAGGGCAACAUUAAGAAGGGCAUCGCGUUUGGCAACAAGUAAGCUCGACGCCUGCUUCGCAGCUAUCCGACGAUGCGACGGUAUUUUGCAGGCACACAACUGCAAUGAUGCGGUGACGUUUGCCGCUACGAUGGCUAGAGGGCCCAGCAGCGGAUCGGCACACUGACGCGGCGUCGUUGAUGCGGCCCUUUUUGGCGUUUGGUUGCUCCCCCGCUCAGCGCCGGGCCAUGCCGCUGCCACUCCUCUACCGCCCUCUAACCCACCCCCUCGCGCCCUUGUGCGGCAACGUCCCCUCUCCCUCAUUUUCUCACUCCCCUUUGGCUGACGUCCAG